CCUACGGGUGGCACCAGUGGGGAAUCUUAGACAAUGGGGGCAACCCUGAUCUAGCCAUGCCGCGUGAGUGAUGAAGGCCUUAGGGUUGUAAAGCUCUUUCAGCUGUGAAGAUAAUGACGGUAGCAGCAGAAGAAGUCCCGGCUAACUCCGUGCCAGCAGCCGCGGUAAUACGGAGGGGACUAGCGUUGUUCGGAAUUACUGGGCGUAAAGCGCACGUAGGCGGAUCGGAAAGUUGGGGGUGAAAUCCCGGGGCUCAACCCCGGAACUGCCUUCAAAACUAUCGGUCUGGAGUUCGAGAGAGGUGAGUGGAAUUCCGAGUGUAGAGGUGAAAUUCGUAGAUAUUCGGAGGAACACCAGUGGCGAAGGCGGCUCACUGGCUCGAUACUGACGCUGAGGUGCGAAAGCGUGGGGAGCAAACAGGAUUAGAUACCCUAGUAGUC
This 440-nucleotide ribosomal RNA is filed under the name uncultured bacterium. RNAcentral describes it as "bacterial SSU rRNA". It matches the Rfam family "Bacterial small subunit ribosomal RNA", at positions 338 to 795 of the family's 1533-position model. The record is from RNAcentral.